UCUUGCUGUGCGGGUGCUUACCAUGCAGUCAGAACGGUAAGGCCCUUCGGGGUACACAGAGUGGCGAACGGGUGAGUAACACGUGGGUGAUCUGCCUUGCACUCUGGGAUAAGCCUGGGAAACUGGGUCUAAUACCGGAUAUGACCACAUGGCGCAUGUUGUGUGGUGGAAAGCUUUUGCGGUGCGAGAUGGGCCCGCGGCCUAUCAGCUUGUUGGUGGGGUAAUGGCCUACCAAGGCGACGACGGGUAGCCGGCCUGAGAGGGCGACCGGCCACACUGGGACUGAGACACGGCCCAGACUCCUACGGGAGGCAGCAGUGGGGAAUAUUGCACAAUGGGCGGAAGCCUGAUGCAACGACGCCGCGUGAGGGAUGACGGCCUUCGGGUUGUAAACCUCUUUCAGCAGGGACGAAGCGCAAGUGACGGUACCUGCAGAAGAGCACCGGCUAUAUACGUGCCAGCAGCCGCGGUAAUACUUAGGGUGCAAGCGUUGUCCGGAAUACCGGGCGUAAAGAUUC
RNAcentral lists this ribosomal RNA (518 nucleotides) under Tomitella sp. RNAcentral describes it as "bacterial SSU rRNA". It matches the Rfam family "Bacterial small subunit ribosomal RNA", at positions 35 to 569 of the family's 1533-position model. Lineage: Bacteria; Bacillati; Actinomycetota; Actinomycetes; Mycobacteriales. The record is from RNAcentral.